GAACACAUUCUUUUUCCUACGCCGGGUAGUCUACAACACAGUGAGAAGGCCUGAUCACCUUUUACCUAAAGAUACCUGAAGAAUAUCAAAUUUAAUUAGCAUUUUCUUUUCAGAGGACCAACUGAAGGUUUAACAAAGUGCCCAGACAGUCAUCAUGAGAUGCAGAGACUUUGUGAGCAGCCUUGCAAUGCUGUACCUGCUAUGGGGUCUCUACACCAUCUGCAGCCUCACCGUCUAUCUGAUUCUCUGCAUCUUCGUCAUCUACCAUCUCAACCGCCACGGACAGGAGUCAGGUGCUGACUACAUCUCUGAAAAUUUCAACAUGGAUCGUCUGUAUGAGGAAAGGCCUGAUUUCUUCAUUGAACUGAUUGAGACUUUGAUCCGACUGAACUGCAGACAACUAAACAAACGAAUCAUACAAUCAUUGCACAAUGAUGGAGCUAUUCCAAAUGGAUGUGCCACUGCAGCAGUAAAUACUGAGAGACCUGUAUCUAAUCUAACUAGGCUGCCUGAAGGUGGUUCUCAGCAACUGCCAAGAAGCCCUGGAAAUACUGCCAUAGAUCUGGAAGCAAGCAUGAUCGACCAGGAGACAGGGAAGUCUCAACUGACCACCCACAUACAGAAUCUGAACACAGUGACCAUGAUCUAAGCUGUUCUGAUAUGGAGGAGGAUAGUGAA
Haliotis rubra (blacklip abalone) is the source of this 678-nucleotide long non-coding RNA. RefSeq lists it as uncharacterized. Lineage: Eukaryota; Metazoa; Mollusca; Gastropoda; Lepetellida; Haliotidae. The record is from RefSeq and is a predicted model, not a curated record. The transcript is spliced from 3 exons.